GACGAACGCUGGCGGCGUGCUUAACACAUGCAAGUCGAACGGAAAGGCCCCUUUGGGGGUCCUCGAGUGGCGAACGGGUGAGUAACACGUGAGUAACCUGCCCUUGACUUCGGGAUAACUUCAGGAAACUGAGGCUAAUACCGGAUAGGAAUCCUUGCUGCAUGGUGGGGGUUGGAAAGCUUCGGCGGUUUUGGAUGGACUCGCGGCUUAUCAGUUUGUUGGUGGGGUAGUGGCUUACCAAGGCUUUGACGGGUAGCCGGCCUGAGAGGGCGACCGGCCACAUUGGGACUGAGAUACGGCCCAGACUCCUACGGGAGGCAGCAGUGGGGAAUAUUGCACAAUGGGCGGAAGCCUGAUGCAGCAACGCCGCGUGCGGGAUGACGGCCUUCGGGUUGUAAACCGCUUUCAGCAGGGGCGAAGCUUGUGGUGACGGUACCUGCAGAAGAAGCACCGGCUAACUACGUG
This 465-nucleotide ribosomal RNA is filed under the name uncultured bacterium. Its description in RNAcentral is "partial 16S ribosomal RNA". It matches the Rfam family "Bacterial small subunit ribosomal RNA", at positions 28 to 507 of the family's 1533-position model. The record is from RNAcentral.